UGGAUAGGGGUUCUGAGAGGAAGGUCCCCCACAUUGGAACUGAGACACGGUCCAAACUCCUACGGGAGGCAGCAGUGAGGAAUAUUGGUCAAUGGGCGAGAGCCUGAACCAGCCAAGUAGCGUGAAGGAUGACUGCCCUAUGGGUUGUAAACUUCUUUUAUAAAGGAAUAAAGUCGGGUAUGGAUACCCGUUUGCAUGUACUUUAUGAAUAAGGAUCGGCUAACUCCGUGCCAGCAGCCGCGGUAAUACGGAGGAUCCGAGCGUUAUCCGGAUUUAUUGGGUUUAAAGGGAGCGUAGAUGGAUGUUUAAGUCAGUUGUGAAAGUUUGCGGCUCAACCGUAAAAUUGCAGUUGAUACUGGAUAUCUUGAGUGCAGUUGAGGCAGGCGGAAUUCGUGGUGUAGCGGUGAAAUGCUUAGAUAUCACGAAGAACUCCGAUUGCGAAGGCAGCCUGCUAAGCUGCAACUGACAUUGAGGCUCGAAAGUGUGGGUAUCAAACAGGAUUAGAUACCCUGGUAGUCCACACGGUAAACGAUGAAUACUCGCUGUUUGCGAUAUACGGCAA
RNAcentral lists this ribosomal RNA (562 nucleotides) under uncultured bacterium. RNAcentral's name for it is "bacterial SSU rRNA". It matches the Rfam family "Bacterial small subunit ribosomal RNA", at positions 280 to 842 of the family's 1533-position model. The record is from RNAcentral.